Molecule: ribosomal RNA, 401 nt
Filed under: uncultured prokaryote
Description: bacterial SSU rRNA
Rfam family: Bacterial small subunit ribosomal RNA
Source: RNAcentral
UGGGGAAUCUUGCACAAUGGGGGAAACCCUAUGCAGCGACGCCGCGUGAGCGAUGAAGCCCUUCGGGGUGUAAAGCUCUUUCGACGGGGACGAUAAUGACGGUACCCGAAGAAGAAGCUGCGGCUAACUACGUGCCAGCAGCCGCGGUAAUACGUAGGCAGCAAGCGUUGUUCGGAAUUACUGGGCGUAAAGAGUGCGUAGGCGGUUUGGCAAGUUUGGUGUGAAAUCUCCCGGCUUAACUGGGAGGGUGCGCCGAAAACUGCCAGGCUAGAGUGUGGGAGAGGGAAGUGGAAUUCCUGGUGUAGCGGUGAAAUGCGUAGAUAUCAGGAGGAACACCUGCGGUGUAGACGGCUUCCUGGACCACUACUGACGCUGAGGCACGAAAGCGUGGGGAGCAAACA